GCCCAGUUAGCUUAGUUGGUAGUGCGUCUGCCUCGUAAGCGCUAGGCCGCGGGUUCGAUUCCCGCCCGGGGCG
Molecule: transfer RNA, 73 nt
Filed under: Diaphorina citri (Asian citrus psyllid)
Lineage: Eukaryota; Metazoa; Arthropoda; Insecta; Hemiptera; Psyllidae
Rfam family: tRNA
About the family: Transfer RNA (tRNA) molecules are approximately 80 nucleotides in length. Their secondary structure includes four short double-helical elements and three loops (D, anti-codon, and T loops). Further hydrogen bonds mediate the characteristic L-shaped molecular structure. tRNAs have two regions of fundamental functional importance: the anti-codon, which is responsible for specific mRNA codon recognition, and the 3' end, to which the tRNAs corresponding amino acid is attached (by aminoacyl-tRNA synthetases). tRNAs cope with the degeneracy of the genetic code in two manners: having more than one tRNA (with a specific anti-codon) for a particular amino acid; and 'wobble' base-pairing, i.e. permitting non-standard base-pairing at the 3rd anti-codon position.
Source: Rfam by way of RNAcentral